Molecule: non-coding RNA, 32 nt
Filed under: Homo sapiens (human)
Lineage: Eukaryota; Metazoa; Chordata; Mammalia; Primates; Hominidae
Source: RNAcentral
UCCCAGGAGUCAACCUCCAGGAGCCUCCACGU